RNAcentral lists this ribosomal RNA (149 nucleotides) under uncultured bacterium. Its description in RNAcentral is "partial 16S ribosomal RNA". It matches the Rfam family "Bacterial small subunit ribosomal RNA", at positions 1352 to 1500 of the family's 1533-position model. The record is from RNAcentral.
GCAUACUGCCGUGAAUACGUUCCCGGGCCUUGUACACACCGCCCGUCACACCAUGAGAGUUGGGAAUACCCGAAGCCUGUGAGCUAACUGUAAGGAGGCAGCAGUCGAAGGUAGAAUCAAUGAUUGGGGUGAAGUCGUAACAAGGUAAC